GACAGAGGGUGCAAACGUUGCUCGGAAUUACUGGGCGUAAAGCGCGUGUAGGUGGAUUGGUGUGUCAGAUGUGAAAUCCCUGGGCUCAACCCAGGAACUGCACCUGAAACUACCAGUCUUGAGUGGUGGAGAGGGAAGUGGAAUUCCUGGUGUAGAGGUGAAAUUCGUAGAUAUCAGGAGGAACACCGGUGGCGAAGGCGGUUCUCUGGGCCUUACCUGACGCUGAGGAGCGAAAGCGUGGGGAGCAAACAGG
This 253-nucleotide ribosomal RNA is filed under the name uncultured bacterium. Its description in RNAcentral is "partial 16S ribosomal RNA". It matches the Rfam family "Bacterial small subunit ribosomal RNA", at positions 524 to 776 of the family's 1533-position model. The record is from RNAcentral.